GGCUCGUUCGUCUAGCGGUCAGGAUCCCACCCUUUCACGGUGGUGACAUGGGUUCGAUUCCCAUACGAGUCA
This 72-nucleotide transfer RNA is filed under the name Planctomyces sp. RNAcentral's name for it is "tRNA-Glu". It matches the Rfam family "tRNA". Rfam says of the family: Transfer RNA (tRNA) molecules are approximately 80 nucleotides in length. Their secondary structure includes four short double-helical elements and three loops (D, anti-codon, and T loops). Further hydrogen bonds mediate the characteristic L-shaped molecular structure. tRNAs have two regions of fundamental functional importance: the anti-codon, which is responsible for specific mRNA codon recognition, and the 3' end, to which the tRNAs corresponding amino acid is attached (by aminoacyl-tRNA synthetases). tRNAs cope with the degeneracy of the genetic code in two manners: having more than one tRNA (with a specific anti-codon) for a particular amino acid; and 'wobble' base-pairing, i.e. permitting non-standard base-pairing at the 3rd anti-codon position. The record is from RNAcentral. Lineage: Bacteria; Pseudomonadati; Planctomycetota; Planctomycetia; Planctomycetales; Planctomycetaceae.